UCAGAAGUGCUAGCUCGCAUGGAGAUCCUUUUGUUGGCUAAUCUAGAUCCUUCUUUGAACUACUUGGACACUUUCAGGAGGUGAAGGAGAACGUCUGGAGGUGAUGAGGUGAAAGGAAGAAAAGCAAAGAGGACACACUCUUCUCUCAAUUUUUCUCUCUUCCCAAAACCCUAUAGUCAGAACCCUAGGAAACCCACAA
Molecule: long non-coding RNA, 199 nt
Filed under: Elaeis guineensis (African oil palm)
Lineage: Eukaryota; Viridiplantae; Streptophyta; Magnoliopsida; Arecales; Arecaceae
Description: long non-coding RNA (EGUI_LNC061475)
Source: RNAcentral